This 322-nucleotide unclassified non-coding RNA is filed under the name Hevea brasiliensis (rubber tree). Lineage: Eukaryota; Viridiplantae; Streptophyta; Magnoliopsida; Malpighiales; Euphorbiaceae. The record is from RNAcentral.
GGAAGCCGUGCAUCUGAUGCAGCUCAUGUUUACGCUAGCUCAAUGGAUUUAUACGAUACUGUUAAUGGGGUUUGGUUAAAAUCCCGAUCUGUUCCCGGCGGCGGCUGUGUUGUGGCAGCAUGUGCGACAGCCGGAGAAAUCUAUGUACUUUCCAGUCACGCAGUGGAGUUAUCGUUCUGGAAGUUUAAUGGGUCACGAAAAAGCACCGGAUUCGGCGAUUGGUGCAGGAUAAAAUCCCCGCCGUUGCCGGCGCAAGUGAGAUUAGACAGUACGGUGAGAUUCAGCUGCGUGGGGAUCGGAGAGAAGGUGGUGUUAGUUCAAG